This 478-nucleotide ribosomal RNA is filed under the name uncultured bacterium. RNAcentral describes it as "partial 16S ribosomal RNA". It matches the Rfam family "Bacterial small subunit ribosomal RNA", at positions 28 to 523 of the family's 1533-position model. The record is from RNAcentral.
GACGAACGCUGGCGGCGUGCUUAACACAUGCAAGUCGAACGGUAAGGCCCUUCGGGGUACACGAGUGGCGAACGGGUGAGUAACACGUGGGUGAUCUGCCCUGCACUUCGGGAUAAGCCUGGGAAACUGGGUCUAAUACCGGAUAGGACCCUGGGAUGCAUGUCCUGGGGUGGAAACCUUUUGCGGUGUGGGAUGGGCCGGCGGCCUUUCAGCUUGUUGGUGGGGUGAUGGCCUACCAAGGCGACGACGGGUAGCCGGCCUGGGAGGGUGACCGGCCACACUGGGACUGAGAUACGGCCCAGACUCCUACGGGAGGCAGCAGUGGGGAAUAUCGCACAAUGGGCGCAAGCCUGAUGCAGCGACGCCGCGUGAGGGAUGACGGCCUUCGGGUUGUAAACCUCUUUCAGCACCGACGAAGCGCAAGUGACGGUAGGUGCAGAAGAAGGACCGGCCAACUACGUGCCAGCCGCCGCAGUAA